CCCGGAAUGUUCUGGACACCUCCUGGC
Molecule: non-coding RNA, 27 nt
Filed under: Cricetulus griseus (Chinese hamster)
Lineage: Eukaryota; Metazoa; Chordata; Mammalia; Rodentia; Cricetidae
Source: RNAcentral